AGACCUCACCCUGCCCUGCCGUGCGCUCAACAGCCAGAUGCUGGGCCCAGACAAGCGCUCUUCCGCUAGUGUGCCGGGAUGAGCGGGGGCUGGACUUCUAGAAAGGGGUCUGCGGGCGCAGGAGCUGGGGUCCGCGGUCUGGGGCCGCCAACACAAGCCAUCAGCCCCAUGCUCAGCUCCCAGCAGGCAGAGCGUUCAGAAGCGCCAGCGCCAUCAUCUUGGGAGCCUGCAGUCCACACACCGCUGACCUUACCUACUUCCUCUUUCCAGGUCGUAGAUUACAGACUCUCCUCUGGGAAAUUGCCCCCAGAUCUAACAGGAGUACAAGAAGCUGGGUAGAUUGGAAAACAGCACCGAAUUCCCCUGGAACUGAGGACGGAAGCCUUCCCAGUCCUGCAGCCACCUGCAGACUCUCACAAGCACGGUGCUCCCGGGAGAAGACCUUGCUACCCCAGGCCCAAGGCAGUCGAGAGAAAACGGGAAGCCCUGAAGGUUUUUCACCCCGGGGGUGAGAGUGUAUGAUCGAAGAUAUAUUUGAGGGAAGGCAGCCAGAGGAGGGCACAGUGUGGAAGAACUCAACUUUUUAAAGACAGAGAUCAGCUUUAAAUAUUGCUAAGAAAGAACUUGGAGAGAGAAGUUGGUGAUACCGGAGACAGCAGGCAACAGACAGAGUGAGAGGCCCGAAGAACAAGAGGAGGAGGGAGUCUCUUCUGGGAGCAGAAGGAGUGUCGACUUAAAUAUUAGGGAGCCAAAGAUGAACCUCGCAGAGAACCUGCAAAACCCAGUUGCAGAAAUACCUGCCCACACCUAAAAACUCAGUCACUGAAAGUCUGAAGUCAAAUGAUUAUGUGAAAUCUUAGUAGUGGGUACAUGUGGUUUCAUUAGAUUAUUCUUUGUAUCUAUAUUUGUACUAUCUUAUAAGCACUAUAAGUUUUAAAACCAUACAAGAGGCUCUAUGGAAAAUAAAUUGGACUUCAUUAAAAUUCAAAACGUGUGCAUCAAAAGACACUGUCAAGAGAAUGAAAAGACAACCCAUAUGAUGGGAGAAAAUCACGUAUCUGACAAAGGUCUACAAUCCAGAACAUAUUAAAAAACUCCUACAAUUCAACAAUGAAAGACCGCCACCCAGUUUUAAAAUGGAAAAAGGACUUGACGUUUCCCCAAAGAUGUGCUCGUGACGAAUGAGCAUGUGAAGAGAUGCUCACUGUUGGCCGGGCGCGGUGGCUCACGCCUGUAAUCCCAGCACUGUGGGAGGCGGAGGUGGGCGGAUCACCUGAGGUCAGGAGUUUGAGACCAGCCUGGCCAACAUGGUGAAACCCCGUUUCUACUAAAAAUAGAAAAAAUUAGCCAGGUGUGGUGGCAGGCGCCUGUAAUCCAGCUACUCAGGAGGCUGAGGCUGGAGAAUUGCUUGAACCUGUGAGGCAGAGGUUGC
RNAcentral lists this long non-coding RNA (1432 nucleotides) under Homo sapiens (human). Its description in RNAcentral is "non-protein coding WDR86-AS1:14". The record is from RNAcentral. Lineage: Eukaryota; Metazoa; Chordata; Mammalia; Primates; Hominidae.